This 433-nucleotide ribosomal RNA is filed under the name uncultured bacterium. Its description in RNAcentral is "partial 16S ribosomal RNA". It matches the Rfam family "Bacterial small subunit ribosomal RNA", at positions 29 to 507 of the family's 1533-position model. The record is from RNAcentral.
AACGAACGCUGGCGGCAUGCCUAACACAUGCAAGUCGAACGAGACCUUCGGGUCUAGUGGCGCCCGGGUGCGUAACGCGUGGGAACCUGCCCUUAGGUUCGGAAUAACUCCCCGAAAGGGGUGCUAAUACCGGAUAAUGUCUUCGGACCAAAGAUUUAUCGCCUUUGGAUGGGCCCGCGUUGGAUUAGCUCGUUGUUAGGGUAAAAGCCUACCAAGGCGACGAUCCAUAGCUGGUCUGAGAGGAUGAUCAGCCACACUGGGACUGAGACACGGCCCAGACUCCUACGGGAGGCAGCAGUGGGGAAUAUUGGACAAUGGGCGAAAGCCUGAUCCAGCAAUGCCGCGUGAGUGAUGAAGGCAUUAGGGUUGUAAAGCUCUUUUACCCGGGAUGAUAAUGACAGUACCGGGAGAAUAAGCUCCGGCUAACUCCGUG